This 268-nucleotide ribosomal RNA is filed under the name uncultured eukaryote. Its description in RNAcentral is "partial small subunit ribosomal RNA". It matches the Rfam family "Eukaryotic small subunit ribosomal RNA", at positions 587 to 868 of the family's 1831-position model. The record is from RNAcentral.
AGCUCCAAUAGCGUAUAUUAAAGUUGUUGCAGUUAAAAGCUCGUAGUUGGAUUUCUGGUCGGGUGACCCGGCCCUCAUGCUGAGUGUGCAAGGCCGCCCGUCCAUCCUUCUGUCAACGCUUGAGGCCUUUACAGUCUCCUGCGGGCUCAGAUAUUUUACCUUGAGAAAAUUAGAGUGUUUCAGGCAGGCUAGCGCCGGAAUACAUUAGCAUGGAAUAAUGGAAUAGGACUUUUGCCUCUUCUGUUGGUCUGAGGGGUUCGAGUAAUGA